UGUUUUUCAACACGCCAGCGCGGCGCAAAUUUUUGAAAUCAGAAAACACGGAAUACGCGCAUUGCGCCACGAUGUUGGAGCGUUUGGCGUUGGCGAAUCCGCAGAUUGAGUUUUCUUUGAAAAACAAUGGCAAAAACGUGUUUCAUUAUCCAGCACAAUCGGCGGAACAGCGCGUGGCGAAAAUUAUGGGUGCGGAUUUUCAGGCAGCCUGUUUGCCUGUGGAUAGCGGCGAAAAUGCCUUGCGUUUGCGCGGUUUUAUUUCCAAGCCAACUUUUGCGAAAGGCAAAUCGGAUUUGCAAUUUUGCUUUGUAAACAAUCGUUUUGUGCGCGAUAAAGUGAUGUUGCACGCGGUCAAGCAGGCGUAUCGCGAUGUGUUGCAUAAUCAGAUUACGCCAGCGUUUGUGCUGUUUUUGGACAUUCCACCUGAAUGGGUUGAUGUGAACGUCCACCCGACCAAGACGGAAAUUCGUUUCCGCGACAGUCAGGCGGUGCAUCAGUUAAUUUUUCAUUGUUUAAACAAGGUAUUGGCGGAUACUCGUGCCGAUGUUACCGACAGCGUGAGCAAUGUGGGCGAGAUUUUGCAGGAGCGAGUUGCCAAUCAAUCUACCAAUACGAAAACGGAUUUUUCAGGCAGCCUGAAAACAGAUUUUCCUAAUCAUUAUCAAAAAGUUACACCUGUGAGUUAUUCGGCGUUUCACGCACCGCAGCAGCGAAGUUUGACUUUGCGCGAACGUCAAUCUGCGAUAAAUACUUACGUGGAGUUGUAUCGUGAUGAUGAAUUGAGUGCAUUUGAAUCUUUCAGGCAGCCUGAAAAUACAAUUCAAGCUGUUGAGCCUAAAACAGAAACGCCAGAAUACCCAUUGGGUUUUGCGUUGGCGCAAUUAUUGGGAAUUUACAUUUUGGCGCAAACGGCGGACGGUUUGAUUUUGGUAGAUAUGCACGCGGCGGCGGAACGUGUGAAUUACGAAAGAAUGAAAGCGGCGCGCGUUUCAGGCAGCCUGAAAGCGCAAAUAUUGUUGAUUCCAGUUAUUUUUUCUGCUUCACACGAAGAACGAGCCACAGCAGCGGAUUUUGCUGAAACAUUGCGUGAUUAUGGUUUGAGUUUGGUAGAAAUGGGCGAUGGACAGUUGGCGGUGCGUUCUGUGCCACAAAUGUUGGGGAAAUCAGACGUGGCGGAAUUGGCGAAAGAUGUUUUGCGUGAAUUGGCGGCAGUUGGCAGUUCGCAAACCAUUGAAUCGCUAGAAAAUCAAAUUUUGGGGACAAUGGCGUGCCAUGGUUCGGUACGCGCUGGACGACAACUGACGUUACCUGAAAUGAAUGCGUUGCUGCGCGAUAUGGAAGCAACUGAACGCAGCAAUCAAUGCAAUCAUGGUCGCCCGACUUGGGUACGUUUGAGUUUGGCGGAUUUGGAUUCGUUGUUUUUGCGUGGGCAGUAAAACAAAAAGCAGCCUGAAAUCUCUUUCAGGCUGCUUUUUGUUUGGGUUAAGAAAGAUUUCUUUGGAGAGAUAUUUAAGUUGCGUAUCAGUUUGUAUGGAUUUAUGCAGAAGAAAAGUAAAAAAAUAUGGAAAUAAAAUUUCUUAAUAAAUAAUGGGUUGGUAUAUUUUUGUAGAAUUUUUUANGCAAACCGACACAGGUGGGCAGGAUGAGAAUUCUAAGGCGCUUGAGAGAACUCGGGAGAAGGAACUCGGCAAAUUGAUACCGUAACUUCGGGAGAAGGUAUGCCCUCUAAGGUGAAGGAUUUACUCCGUAAGCCCCUGAGGGUCGCAGAGAAUCGGUGGCUGCGACUGUUUAUUAAAAACACAGCACUCUGCUAACACGAAAGUGGACGUAUAGAGUGUGACGCCUGCCCGGUGCUGGAAGGUUAAUUGAAGAUGUGCAAGCAUCGGAUCGAAGCCCCAGUAAACGGCGGCCGUAACUAUAACGGUCCUAAGGUAGCGAAAUUCCUUGUCGGGUAAGUUCCGACCCGCACGAAUGGCGUAACGAUGGCCACACUGUCUCCUCCCGAGACUCAGCGAAGUUGAAAUGGUUGUGAAGAUGCAAUCUCCCCGCUGCUAGACGGAAAGACCCCGUGAACCUUUACUGUAGCUUUGCAUUGGACUUUGAAGUCACUUGUGUAGGAUAGGUGGGAGGCUUUGAAGCAGAGACGCUAGUCUCUGUGGAGCCGUCCUUGAAAUACCACCCUGGUGACUUUGAGGUUCUAACCCAGACCCGUUAUCCGGGUCGGGGACCGUGCAUGGUAGGCAGUUUGACUGGGGCGGUCUCCUCCCAAAGAGUAACGGAGGAGUUCGAAGGUUACCUAGGUCCGGUCGGAAAUCGGACUGAUAGUGCAAUGGCAAAAGGUAGCUUAACUGCGAGACCGACAAGUCGAGCAGGUGCGAAAGCAGGACAUAGUGAUCCGGUGGUUCUGAAUGGAAGGGCCAUCGCUCAACGGAUAAAAGGUACUCCGGGGAUAACAGGCUGAUUCCGCCCAAGAGUCCAUAUCGACGGCGGAGUUUGGCACCUCGAUGUCGGCUCAUCACAUCCUGGGGCUGUAGUCGGUCCCAAGGGUAUGGCUGUUCGCCAUUUAAAGUGGUACGUGAGCUGGGUUUAAAACGUCGUGAGACAGUUUGGUCCCUAUCUGCAGUGGGCGUUGGAAGUUUGAAGGGGGCUGCUCCUAGUACGAGAGGACCGGAGUGGACGAACCUCUGGUGUACCGGUUGUUUCGCCAGAAGCAUAGCCGGGUAGCUAAGUUCGGAAGAGAUAAGCGCUGAAAGCAUCUAAGCGCGAAACUCGCCCAAAGAUGAGACUUCCCUUGCGGUUUAACCGCACUAAAGAGUCGUUCUAGACCAGGACGUUGAUAGGUUAGGUGUGGAAGAGUGGUAACACUUGAAGCUAACUAAUACUAAUUGCUCGUGAGGCUUGACU
RNAcentral lists this ribosomal RNA (2904 nucleotides) under Kingella negevensis. RNAcentral describes it as "bacterial LSU rRNA". The stretch from base 1432 to 2904 matches the Rfam family "Bacterial large subunit ribosomal RNA". Lineage: Bacteria; Pseudomonadati; Pseudomonadota; Betaproteobacteria; Neisseriales; Neisseriaceae. The record is from RNAcentral.